RNAcentral lists this ribosomal RNA (253 nucleotides) under uncultured bacterium. RNAcentral's name for it is "partial 16S ribosomal RNA". It matches the Rfam family "Bacterial small subunit ribosomal RNA", at positions 524 to 776 of the family's 1533-position model. The record is from RNAcentral.
UACGUAGGUGGCAAGCGUUGUCCAGAAUUACUGGGUGUAAAGGGAGCGCAGGCGGGAAGCCAAGUCAGCUGUGAAAACUACGGGCUUAACUUGUAGACUGCAGUUGAAACUGGUUUUCUUGAGUGAAGUAGAGGUUGGCGGAAUUCCGAGUGUAGCGGUGAAAUGCGUAGAUAUUCGGAGGAACACCGGUGGCGAAGGCGGCCAACUGGGCUUUAACUGACGCUGAGGCUCGAAAGUGUGGGGAGCAAACAGG